RNAcentral lists this ribosomal RNA (429 nucleotides) under Actinomycetes bacterium. RNAcentral's name for it is "Actinobacteria bacterium partial 16S ribosomal RNA". It matches the Rfam family "Bacterial small subunit ribosomal RNA", at positions 355 to 776 of the family's 1533-position model. Lineage: Bacteria; Bacillati; Actinomycetota; Actinomycetes. The record is from RNAcentral.
UAGGGAAUCUUCCGCAAUGGGCGAAAGCCUGACGGAGCAACGCCGCGUGAGUGAUGAAGGUCUUCGGAUCGUAAAACUCUGUUAUUAGGGAAGUACAAAUGUGUAAGUAACUAUGCACGUCUUGACGGUACCUAAUCAGAAAUCCACGGCUAACUACGUGCCAGCAGCCGCGGUCAUACGUAGGUGGCAAGCGUUAUCCGGAAUUAUUGGGCGUAAAGCGCGCGUAGGCGGUUUUUUAAGUCUGAUGUGAAAGCCCACGGCUCAACCGUGGAGGGUCAUUGGAAACUGGAAAACUUGAGUGCAGAAGAGGAAAGUGGAAUUCCAUGUGUAGCGGUGAAAUGCGCAGAGAUAUGGACGAACACCAGUGGCGAAGGCGACUUUCUGGUCUGUAACUGACGCUGAUGUGCGAAAGCGAGGGGAUCAAACAGG